Agelaius phoeniceus (red-winged blackbird) is the source of this 234-nucleotide non-coding RNA. The record is from RefSeq and is a predicted model, not a curated record. NCBI's taxonomy places the organism in Eukaryota, Metazoa, Chordata, Aves, Passeriformes, Icteridae.
GGGGGGGUCCCGGGGGGGUUCCCCGGUGCUGCUGCCGCUGCUGCUGCUGCUGCUGCCCGCGGGAGCCGCCCCCAAAUACGUGCGGGGCCGCAUCAGCACCAAGGAGGACUGGGUGUUCCUGACCCGUUUCUGUUUCCUGUCCGAUUUCGGCCGCCUCGAUUUCCACUUUCGGUACCCCGAGGCCCGCUGCUGCCAGAACAUUCUGCUCUACUUCGACGACCCCUCCCAAUGGCC